Molecule: transfer RNA, 76 nt
Filed under: Alphaproteobacteria bacterium MarineAlpha8_Bin1
Lineage: Bacteria; Pseudomonadati; Pseudomonadota; Alphaproteobacteria
Also listed under: 1 other name
Description: tRNA-Thr
Rfam family: tRNA
About the family: Transfer RNA (tRNA) molecules are approximately 80 nucleotides in length. Their secondary structure includes four short double-helical elements and three loops (D, anti-codon, and T loops).
Source: RNAcentral
GCCGGUGUAGCUCAGUUGGUAGAGCAACUGAUUUGUAAUCAGUGGGUCGGGAGUUCAAGUCUCUUCGCCGGCACCA